AAUGAACGCUGGCGGCGUGCCUAACACAUGCAAGUCGCACGAGAAAGACUGUUUUCGGACGGUCGAGUAAAGUGGCGCACGGGUGAGUAGCGCGUAGGUAACCUACCUCUGUAUUGGGGAUAACCCCGCGAAAGCGGGGCUAAUACCGGAUGAGACCCUGGGAUGGUGGUCUUGGGGUGAAAGCGGGCCUCUCGAAGAAGCUCGCGUACGGGGAUGGGCCUGCGUCCUAUCAGCUAGUUGGUGGGGUAAUGGCCUACCAAGGCGACGACGGAUAGCCGGCCUGAGAGGGCGAUCGGCCACAGGGGCACUGAGAUACGGGCCCCACUCCUACGGGAGGCAGCAGUUAGGAAUCUUCCACAAUGGGCGAAAGCCUGAUGGAGCGACACCGCGUGAAGGAUGA
This 400-nucleotide ribosomal RNA is filed under the name uncultured bacterium. RNAcentral describes it as "bacterial SSU rRNA". It matches the Rfam family "Bacterial small subunit ribosomal RNA", at positions 29 to 411 of the family's 1533-position model. The record is from RNAcentral.